UGGGGAAUAUUGGACAAUGGGCGAAAGCCUGAUCCAGCCAUGCCGCGUGUGUGAAGAAGGUCUUCGGAUUGUAAAGCACUUUAAGUUGGGAGGAAGGGCAUUAACCUAAUACGUUAGUGUUUUGACGUUACCGACAGAAUAAGCACCGGCUAACUCUGUGCCAGCAGCCGCGGUAAUACAGAGGGUGCAAGCGUUAAUCGGAAUUACUGGGCGUAAAGCGCGCGUAGGUGGUUUGUUAAGUUGGAUGUGAAAUCCCCGGGCUCAACCUGGGAACUGCAUUCAAAACUGACUGACUAGAGUAUGGUAGAGGGUGGUGGAAUUUCCUGUGUAGCGGUGAAAUGCGUAGAUAUAGGAAGGAACACCAG
Molecule: ribosomal RNA, 365 nt
Filed under: uncultured bacterium
Lineage: Bacteria
Description: partial 16S ribosomal RNA
Rfam family: Bacterial small subunit ribosomal RNA
Source: RNAcentral